UACGGAGGGUGCAAGCAUUAAUCGGAAUUAUUGGGCGUAAAGGGCGCGUAGGCGGAGUGGUCAGUCAGGUGUGAAAUCCCAGAGCUUAACUCUGGAACAGCACUUGAAACUGCCACCCUAGAGGAUGGACGGAGAAAACGGAAUUCCACAAGUAGCGGUGAAAUGCGUAGAUAUGUGGAAGAACACCUGUGGCGAAAGCGGUUUUCUAGUUUAUUCCUGACGCUAAUGCGCGAAAGCAAGGGGAGCAAACAGG
RNAcentral lists this ribosomal RNA (253 nucleotides) under uncultured bacterium. RNAcentral's name for it is "partial 16S ribosomal RNA". It matches the Rfam family "Bacterial small subunit ribosomal RNA", at positions 524 to 776 of the family's 1533-position model. The record is from RNAcentral.